RNAcentral lists this long non-coding RNA (18258 nucleotides) under Gossypium barbadense (sea-island cotton). RNAcentral's name for it is "long non-coding RNA (GBAR_LNC016210)". The record is from RNAcentral. Lineage: Eukaryota; Viridiplantae; Streptophyta; Magnoliopsida; Malvales; Malvaceae.
UCACUUGAUAAUGAUGGAUUUUGGUUUAGUUUAUGUGAUGUGAGAGGGACAUAGAUAGCACUAUUAAAAUGGAUUUUUGAGGAAUAAAAAUUUGUGGGUGUAGAGGAAUAAAGAGUUACAUCAGAUCUUGGUCUGAUUUGAGAGAGAUAUUAAAACUCAAAACAAUGGAGGAAGGAAGAUGAGAGAUAAAGGAUAUGUAAAUGUAAUAUGACCAACCAAAGCGAUUGAAGCCAAUUUCCACCAGCAAGUUCUUUUCUUUUUUGUAAGGUUUUUUUUUUUUUUUUUUUGUGGGGGACAUUAAAUGCUAUAGCCAAUAGAAAAGAUUGGAAUUUGUGUGAAAGAAAGAGAUGGUGUUGUCGGGACCAUGUGGGUCUGGCUGGGGUUACUCUGUUUUCUGCUUUUCAUUUAAUCUAAUCUUUUAUUUCCAAGUCAAAAUUUUUUAAAAUGAUUUUUCAUGAUUAAAUUAUAAAUAUUUAAAAACACAGUAUAAUUAUUAUAAUUAUAAUUAUAAUUAUUAUUUAAUGUUUAUUUAAAUAAUUAAAACUAAAAGUUUGUAGGCCAAAGUCCCAGUGACGCCGCCCCUGCCUAUAAUAGUCAAGGAAGCAGUCAUCAGGGGUAAGUUUUGUUUAGUUGAACUUCCAUACGGAGAUGGAUUACCAGAUAAAAAAUGUGUGGAUGUAAGUAAAGCAUACUAGUCGUUGAACUGCUGCUAAGCUUAUUAUUAUUAUUAUUAUUAUUAACGAUAAGAGACAUUCAAGCUUCACAACAUUUUCUCUGAAAAUUUUUUAUUCAUAAUUUAAUUGUUUUUCUUAAUUUGAUUUCUAUACUUAAACUCUAUUAAAGUAGGAAAAAAUGUUAGUCAUCAACUAGAUUUUUACAAUUUUUAAAUAAAUAUUUUUAAAAAAUUAUAUAAAUUUCAUGGAAUGACAAAACAGAUAUAAUCAAAGAAACUAUUUUUAUUUUCAAAUGGAAGGUGCAGUGUUUAUAAAAGCAUCCGGGAAAGUGGGAAACGUAACAGUGCUUAUCGUGCGGCUCUCUCCUUAAUCACAAUCAAUUUGGGGUUAAUUCCUUUCAUCACGUGCGCUUCUAUUUUGAAAUUUGAGAAAAAUCAGCUCUAAUGAAUCAACAUCAAAUCCACCACCUCUAUAAUUGCUCUUACUCUAUGUUUAAUAAUUUAAUUUAAACUUAAUAUAUUAUUUCAAACUCAUAUUUAUGUUGUUGUUUUUUUAUCUAAUCUAUUUUUUGUCUUUGAUAAAAAUUAUACAUUUUAAUGUUUAAAGGUAACGAUGUUAAGUUUUUAGUGUUUAAUUUAGAUUUUAAAGUUGAUUGAUGAAACUUAAUUGCUAAUAUUAUAAUAUUUAUUUUUUUAAAAAUAAAAAAUUAGUGUUAAUUCUAAAUUUGUUCAACUUUACGUUUAAUUUUUUUAAUUCAAGCAUUAGAGUUAAUUUGAUGAAAGCUAAUUACUAUUAUUAUUAGUUAAUUAUGAAUUCCCAUCAAAUCAACUAUAAAAACCUAGACUAAACAUUAAAAAGUUAACAUUGUUACCUCUAGAUAUCAAAAUGUAUACUUUUUGUUAAAUAUAAGUAUUAUAUUGUAAAAAAAAAACAAAUAUCAAACUCAAAUAACAAAAUUAUGUAUAAAGACUAUAUAUAUAUAUAUAUAGCUUAUGUUACAUUUUAAGAGGUAAAAGGAUGAAAUUUCACAUAAAUCCAAUCCUAGAUAAACAUACCAAUACUUGAAUUUAUGUACAAAAUAGUUUAUAGACUUAAUUUUUAUAUUAUACUACUAUGGUUUCUACCACGCUUCGUGUUGAGUUAAUUAUUUUUUAAGCUAGAUUAUAGUGUAAUUAUUUGAAGAUUAAAAUAUUCUAUAUUUAUGUAAUCUUCAUACAUUUGAAAUUUUGUCUUCUUACUUUUUUUUUUUAAUUUUAUAACAAAGUCAAUAGGAUGAACAUGAUAGAUUCAUAAAUAUUUUUUUUUGAAAUAAAUAAGCAUAACAACGUGUCACCACCCUGAUGAAUCGGUCAUGUGACAUAAUGGGUCCGAUUUAAGAAAAAAAUAAUAUUUUUUAAAUAAAUAAGUAGUGUGAUAAUAUUUUUGAUGUAUAAUGUUUUAAAGUUAAUUGCAACGUCCAAUCAAGUAAGCAAGCAAAAAGGAAGCUAAAGUUGGAUAAAAUAUUUGUUAACAUAAUAAAUGUGGGAAUCAUCAGGUCACGUAUAUGAAAUUGAAUGCAGUUAAGCGUGGGAAGUUUGGAUACAAAUUCCACGAUGCAUAUGCCUCUGAGUCGGAUAAUUCGCGAAAGUGUUCACUUUUGGUUUUGAUUCAACACUGUUGAAUGCCAUUAACCAAACAAAACGUGGGUGCUUUGAGCCUGUAUUGGGUCGUCUUUUCUGGGUUUCUUUUAACUGUUGCAUCUUGACUUUUGGGUAAACUUAUCCACAUUUAAGGCCCAUUACUACCAAAAUUUUCAUUUUUUUUCCAUUCAAUCAAUCAAAUCCUAGAAGAAACCACGGAGAGGACAGCAUAAUCUACGGGAUAACAAAUGCAAGUCUAGUUAUCUAUAAAUGUAGGGAUUAGUGCAAAGACUGUAGGAUCAAUUUGAACCUUACUUCAACUAAUUUCAUCCACUUGGCUGAUUGUUAAACUAAAAAUUAUAGCAAUUGAAUCGAAGAAUGAGGUUAAGGUUGAAUAGAAGCAAAGUAACCCAAUUUGCUGAAAAACAAACUUUUAAUUCAAAUUCCUGCACCCACAAUUUAAAACAGGCAACUUCAUCUGCACUCCAAGACUUGAGAAAUUUCUGGUGACAACCAUUACCAUAUACAAUGAAUUCCUAAUAAUAGUAAUAAUAAUAAUCAAACAUCAAAGCCUAAUAGAUAAAACAAAUUUACAUGAGUUAAAACCUGUAUUUUGUUUUUGAAUAAUAAUUUCGUAAAUUCCAAACCUUGAUUCUGCAGAACUUCAAGGAUUACCCCAAGCAGCUAUAUGCAUUUUCAUGUUGGUCUAAUCCACAAAUUGCCAUCCUGGGUAAACAAACUCUUAUUUCAGCACUUCACCCGAGAGCAAUAUGAUUUAAACGAUUCUAUCCCCUAAAUCUAACGACGACGCAAGAUAUGUCAUCUUUGCUGUCUCUUUUAACUGCUUCGGUGGUCAGUUGCUUUGCGGCCUUCUGUGGGUCUUUGAACCUUUUUGCAAUAUCAACCGCCUCUUGAUUAGUCAUCACCUGGAUUAAGCAUAAAGAACGGGAAAUAAAACUCCUGCUGAACUAUUACUAGCUCAUGCAUCAUUGAGACAAUUUCUUGCAUGUGCACGAAGUGAAUAAAUAUAAAUGAACAGAGGCAUCAAAACCAAAAGAAUUUACCUUCCAAAGACCAUCACUAGCAAGGACUAAAAUGUCUGUAUUGCCAUCUACCUUGGCGUUUUGAAUGUCUGGAUCUGACCGCAGAUGUGAUUUAAGGCUCUUGUCCCCAAAAGCACGUGAAACUGCCAGUUGUCCGUUAACUCUAGGAACAUCUCCUGUUAAGCAUGACAAAACAGCAAAUUCAACAAUUUCAAAACGAAAAAAAUUACUAGAGCAAGAGCCUUAUGUUUCACUCUAUAGUGAGAAUUUCCAUGGAUUAGAAUUAGCUGAACUGAUGUUUUCGGGCCAUCAAUUCUUUUGUGGUAUCUUUGAAUGUAUUUCAGGCCAAGGCACGAGAAGCAAAAUAAUAAAAAUUAAUAAAUAAAAAAAUCAUGGUAACUUGCAGUUUCCUUUUCAAUGGAUACAUCAAGAAAAAUGCAAAGGAAGCCAAUGAUGUGGAUUUUGAGUAAAGCAACCAACUUACAGAGUCAUUAUCGUAACCUAAAAUUAUUGCAGAUUCCAUAUUAGGAAUGAAGGAAGAAUCAGUAACUUGAAUCUAAUAAAUGCCCACAAUAGGCUGGCAGCAACAAGACAAAAUCAGCCUAUCAUCUUCAUUGACUUAACAAGGUAAUUAAUACUUGGCAAUAAAAAGUAAAUUUAACCACUAAUUAAAUGUAUGCGCCCAUAAAAAGAAGAAAAAUAAGAGAAUUACAAGGUAGUGAACCGUAAAGACAAAAAUUUCUUUUCAAUGUAGUUGAUGUGUUCUUGGUAGAUGGAGUAACUAACUGAACCAUCAGUGUCUUAAUGAGGAUCAAAACUACAUGGAUAAUAAGUUCUUUUAGGAACUUCCUACAUAAGUGUCUAAGCAUUAGAAGCUGCAAACAGCUUAAAGAUCACCAGCAGAUUCAACCGUUCAACUUCUUUGCCAAAACAUGUUAUAAAUUAUUAUCAUAUUAGACUGUACGUGCAUAAAAACGAAUGAACUUGUAAACAUUGGAUGCAGUAGAAGACCUGGCAUAUUUGAGACAAAUCCUCCUCUGUUCUCAAUGCUGCCUCGUUCGGUGUUUGGUUCAUGAUCUGUAGUCAUCUGUGUAGCCUGACCCCUACUUGAAAGAACAGCACGAGAAUCUCCAACAUUUGCCACCCAUAGACUUUUUCCAUUUAUCAAUAUUGCAGUUACAGCAGUGGAUCCACCACGACCCAAGUCAGCAGCACGUGAAAGAAUUGCUUGGUCUGUUUUGUCAUAAGCUUUUGAAAUGGCUCUGCGGGGAUCAACCCAAAACUCUUCCUAGAAAAAGUAAGAAAUGAAAGCAUAAGUUGAUUUGAAAGUAAUAAGCCAAAACAUGUAAUUACCCUAUUAAAAAUGGUAUGGCACAUCCCACCUCCUUUAGGAUAUUGGCAAACAGAUGCUUUUGUAGGUAGGCAGGUACACUAUCUCCCAGAUGACCAUCAUAGAUAGCAAAAAGCCCCAACUCGUGACCUUGAAUCUGCAUGAACUUAGCGACAUGAUAAUCCUCCAUAGGAUGACUUGCUUUCCCUUUUACUAGGCUGAAACCAAACCUCAUUAUACCCUCAUGGCUUUUCCCCUUGCCAGAAGUAGAUGAUGAACGCCCCCCUCCAUACUAAAAUGAUAAAACAGUAACAAUAAGUCUCUUUGUAAGCCUCACUUAGCCACGUUGCUUAACACCAACCAAAAGAAAACCUAUACCAAUCCGGUUACUAUAAAAAACCAUCAAAUAUGUUGCAUCAACAUAACAUUAUGAAAAAGAUGACACAACGAAAAGGGAAAAAGAACCCCAAAGAGUAAAUUCUUGUAGCAUGGAAAGUUCAUCCAAAUUUCCCUUCUAAACAAGCUGUGUACUGACUGUUCAUAAUAAAUCAAUAUACAGGAUCAUAUGAUGAACUUCUUGUACAAGACUGUUGGGCAAAUAGAAUUUUUUUAAAAAAAUUUAAUUGCAUAACCUGUAUUAAAAGAAAAACUCUAAAUUGGUUUACCAAGUUAGGAACAUCUGCAAUAUAAUCACACAAUAAAAAAUAAAUAAAAGAAAAGAAUAUAUUUAUGACUAUAUGCCAUACAGAUCAUCAUUAGGAAGCGUUCAUGAAAAAUUAUAGCAAUCCCAACACACAUCUAAGAUGAAUGAUCAAAUCCUUUCAAUAUGCAGACCAUUCUUGCAACCCAAAAUCAUCACUCUUAAGUAGCUCAUAUAAGAUACCUACUGAAAUCAGGCAACAUAACCUCAAAAUUAAUCACACAACUAACCUAUAUAAAAAUUCCAAGUUUCAUCACAAUUAAUUGAAAGUUUUAUUUUCCCAAACAUAGGAGUACUAAGAAAAGCCUUAAAAGAGUACAGCAAAUAUGCUUUACCUGAGAGGAAUUAAAGCAGCACAACCAAUCCAUAGAAAAUAAAAUUUCUGCAAAAACCUCUAAUUUGCCUGACUAAAUUCUCUUCAGCAUCAAGUUCCUGGUCAAUUCAAAGAUAUCAUCAAAACCCCAACAAAAAAAGUAUCGUUAAAGGAAAACCCUCAAAGCCACAAACAAAAACAAAAGGAUGAGCAUGAAAGAAUCACCAAGAUAAAGAAUCAAUUAGAAGGCCAAAAUAUGCCUUGUUUCUGCUACUGCUGGGUGAAGUAGGUGUCCGCUACAACAGCUUUCCUUUUUGUUUAUCAGCUGGGGUUUUCUUCCUCUUCUUGUUAUAGGUUGGCUUUUGUUAAUUUGCACAAGCAAUUGAAUAAUAUUUGAAAGCUUUCUUUUAAAGGGUUAAAAACUAGUGCUUAAUAUUAAAAAAAAGAUUGGAAUUUGGAGAAAAAGAAUGGAGCUUUUGCCUGAAUGAUUACUUGUGACCGUUCUAGGAAGAGUCUUCCUUUGCUAUUUGAUAUGAUAUAUCAUAAUAUUUAUGUGAAAAAGGAAUCGUUAACAAUAUAAUGAAAAAAAAGCUGCCACAAAGCAGACUUCUUCAUGUUGACUUUGCUGUUUCAGUGUGUUUUCCAUUUUUGGGGGCGCUUUCUUUGUUUUCAGCCUUAAAAAAAAUCAUUUUAUUUUUUUAUUAAAAAAAAGUAAAAAUUUACAAAUAUUAUUCUUUAAACAAUCUUCUCAUAAAUUUUGAUCAUAUCUUUUUUGUUACACAAUACUUAUAAUUACUCAUAACUCUUUUCAAUAUACUUCAACGCACUUAAACUAAUGUUAUCUUAUAUUGGUAUGCUAAUUAAGUUAAGAAUCAAUCAUCAAUUAGACCAAGUUAAAUUAAUUUCUUCAUUCAAAGACUUGGAUUAUGUUAAUUGGUGAAGAAUUUGUGGUAACAAAUCAUAAGUUGAAAUUUGAUUUUUUUUUUUGUAAAUUAUUAAAAAAUAAAAUGGUUAGCUUGCUUAAUACUUAACUAAAACGUAAAUCGAUAACCAACUCCUAACUGGGCAACCCUUGAACAUGUCUGUUUUAAGAUGAUAUAAAUUAUUAAUUAAUUACCAAAGAAGUUAUACUCAUGUAAAAUUCAUUAAUAAACAUAAAUAUGAUUUUGUGUACGGUAAUAUUAGUAAACAAUAUCCCCAACUAAAUAAAACAUUUCAAAAAACAACUUACCGCAAAGCGGACAAAAUUAGGGGUAUGUUCAACUUUUGAUUAUUUAAGGAAAUUGAAUGAUUUUUCUUAUACAUGGCAAUAAUGCUUUUCCCAGUUCCAUUACUCCAUCAAGCAUAUGUGUUUUUUUUUUCAUGUUCUUUUUUAUUUAGUUAAUAAAUAUAUUGUUUUCAAUUUUUUUAUUUUAUUUUUAAUUAAUACUUAUUUUAUUUAUAUCAAUAAAACAAUAAAUUUGUAAUUAUAUAAUAAAUAUAUAUUUUUUAUAUCUAUCAUUAUGUAAAAAAUGUUUUUUAAGUGUAUCAACUAUUUUAUUCAUUUAUUUUUCCUUAUAUAUAAUUUUUUUAUAUGUCAAAAAUUUAUUUUUUUGACGUGAUUAUGAUAAAUUCUAAUAUUUUAAAAUUAAAUAAUUAUUUUAAAUAUCAUUAUUAUUUUUAUACGUGAAAUAUUUUAAUUAAUUAUUUCAAAUAUCAUUAUAGUUUCAUCUAGUAAUAUGAAUUUAGACUUGAUAAUGGGUUGGGCCGAAGUAAAAUUUUAUGCCCAUUUUCUAGGCACGAGCCUGGCCCGACCCAAUAAAAUGGGCCUAAAAUUUUGUCUAAGCCAGGCCUAAAUUAAAAAUACUAAACUCGAGCCUGGCACAGCCUGCACAUAUUAAUUUUUUAGAUUUUUUAUUUAAAAUUAAUUUAAAAAAUAUGAUACAUCAAAUACACUAAAAAACAUUAAAAUAAAUGUUUUCCAACAAAUUGAAAAUAUGUUAAAAAAUUUUAUACUUAAAUAACAUUAAGAUAGUUACAACUUAGUAAGUAAAUGUCUCUAAAAUAGUAGCAGAAUUAACAAUAAAACCAUAGUUAUACAAUAUAACAACAAUAAAACAACAGCAUAACAACAAAAAAAUAGAAGGAAAAAAGUUUAGGCUUAUUCGAGUCCAGGCCAAAAAAAUCCAACUUGAGGCCCGACCCAUUUAAAAAUCAUGUAUAUUUUUUUGUCUAAACUCAUUUUUUGGUCAUAUUUUUCUAUCUAAACCCUCUUACUUUUCAGGCGGGCUUUCGAGUCUGGGCGGAUGACCUGACCCAUGAUUUGGUCUAUGCAUGAUCUACAUGAAUGGAGCAUGAAAUAUGACGGUUAGAUUAUUAAAAUAUAAAUUGUAUAAAAAGUUAUGAAAGGGUGUAAAACUAAUUAAAUUUUACACCAAUGUAUCCCUCCCCAAGAAAAAUAUUUCAAAAGAAAUUAAUUGAUGUUUUUUUAAAAAUAAAAUAUAUUGAACAUAAUGGUAAAUAUCAAUAAUAUAUAUUCGUUAUAUAAGUACAUAUUUAUUAUUUUAUUUAUACAGAUAAGAUAAUUAUUAAUUAAAAAUAAAAAAAAUUGAAACAACAUGAAAUAAAGAACACAAGUGUAGAGGAGAGUUGAACUUGUGACUCAAGGAUGAAAGAAGACGCUUUUUGUGAAAUGUAUUUUUCCAAAAAUGUUUUUUUCUUAAAACGGGUUUUUGUCACAUCUAUAAAAAUAUGACAUAUUUCCGUAAAUAAUCAAAAUUUUAACUUAAUUAUAUCUCUAUUAUUUUUCUAAAAUCGACAUAUACCUUUAAAUUUACCUUUUAAAGAGAUUAAAAGAAAAAGGUUACAUAGUGAAUGAUAAACUAAAAUUAUUCUGGAAAUGAAAUAAUCAUUGAUGACUAGAAUCUAAAUAAAAUAUUUAUAGAGUAAUUGCUAUGCUAAUACUGAUUGAAAUUCAAUUAUAUCUUAUUUCUUUUAAAUAUUCAAAUUUGGGAAACAAAAUUUAUAAAUUUUAGAGAUUUAAAUCUUGGAUAAAAUUAAAAGACAAAUUCUCCAGCAGAUAUAAUAAGAUUCCAAAACAUACUUUAAAAGAAAAAAUUCAAAGCUUAGAUGAUGCAUGCCAAAAGACCUAUAUUGUAGAAGUAAAUCUUAAUUUAAUUUUUAUAUAAUUACAAUAUUAAUUUAAGUUAUUAUUAUUUUGAUAAUCUGUGUAGGCAUUAAUGUACCAAUUUAAAUAAAUUAUUGUCAAAGUGUAAUCUGAUAUGAAAACAAGAUUUACUUAUAUCAACUUGAUAACUUGUUUUAUAAUAUCAAUUUAAUAAUAUAAUAAAUAAUCAUAUUUGUGAUAAAUCUAAAUUUUAAAUUGAUACAAUAGCAUUUUUAUGUUCCGAAAAAAUAUUGUUUCACAUGUAGUUAAAAUUUCAAUUUUUUAUAUAUAAAAAUACACACUCAUAAAUCAUAAAAAAAAAUAUAAAAGAAAUUCUUUAAUUGAAUCUUAUAAAGCAAAACAAAAAACAUUGUCGAAAAUUUCCAUUAAUAAUUAAUGGUUGGUAGCAUUUAUAUUCGAAAAUAACACGGUCCAGCAAACUUAUUUUGACAUACACACUUCGGAUAAAUUUCUUUUUUGUAAAUACAAAAUUAUUUAAAUAAUUAAUGAUAUUUUAAUUGGAAUGACAAAUAUUUUUUGAAAUUUAAGAUUUUAAAAAAAAAUUGAAGUCAUAAUUUCAACUUCCACCUAUGUGAUUUUUUUUCUAAUUUUAUAUAAUAAAAAACACAAACAAUUAUACAAUAAUAUUGUUUCUUUUUUAUAAAUUUUUGCAAAAUAUAUAACGACAAAAAUCACAUCAUAGCAGCGCGAAGCUAACGAAGUAGAAUCCCGGGAAGACUUAGCUGAGGCGGUUUGUUGGUAAGGACCUUGGACGGCCGAUGCUGGAUGGUCUCUGCCGCAGCCACCAACUAUACAUGGUCGUAUUUACUCUACGUUAAGACAUCUAAAUUUGUGUCAUAUAGUUUUACUUCUUAUUUUGUGUCAAUUAGCCCUGAUCCAAAAUUGAAUCUAUAAAUAAAUUUAAUUAUAUAUAUAGAGUUUAAAAUGAUUCAUAUAUAUUUUUUAUUUUUUAAGUACGUUUUAAUGUAUUUAAAUUUAUAUAUUUUUUAUAUUAAUAAUAUCGAUAUUAAUUAAAUUAAUAUUUAAUUGACAUAAGCUUAAUUUUCUAAACUUGAUAUCAUUUUAAUUUUUAUUUAAAUAUAAUUUAUAAAAUAAUUCUUUCAACAAUCUCACCUUGGCAAAGAUAGCAUUUUGAACCAACCUACUUCCUAGUAACGUGACCGUUCCUUGCUAAAACUGGGACAAAUAAAAGGAAACCAAAAUUGAAAUUAAGAAAAGAAGGCCAAAAUCCGUGACUAUGUAGGCAUCAUCUCCUAAGGCCGCCGCUCAGCUGGUAAAGAGAAAACAAGGCUAAUAAAGAUACAAAUAUUUUCGUUUACUUGCUCCCUUAAUUCAUAAAAUUCAUAUUUGAGUAAUUAUUUCAUAUACAACUUACAAGUCUAAAAACUCCAAAAUCAUAUUGAAAAUGUGACAAAGUGUCCAAUUUAUCUCUCUUUUUUUUUAUUUUUUUUAAUUAAAUCUUUGAGACAUUUGCCAUAUUCUCAAAUUGUUUCAUAUAUAAGAUAAUCUUUUAUCUAUUAAGUAAUUAUUUGACACACAAGUAAUAAAAACUUUUAACUCUAUAAAUGGGUUAAAAUGUCAUUAUGUUUAAAAUUUCAAACUUCUAAAAAAAGAUGAUCACCGAGGUAGUACUAGAUGUGACUUUGGUAGUGGGAGUGGUUGAGCCAUCAAGAAAGCCUGCAUGAGGGAAGAUGAUCUACCAGAUGGACUGGAUGAGGAUAUGACUGCUCCGACUGCAAAUAACAUGUUGCUUAAAGACAUACUAAUGAAUGGAGGGAAUGGAAACUCGAAUGAUAACAUGCCAUUAAUGGUUGAUGUUGAAGAAGAUGAUAUCAAACUUCUCGAGGGUGAUGUUCUUAUGAGCGUGGAGAAUGAGAAUCCUUCAAUAAAGUUUUCAGAAAGUGGUAAUAAUUUGGUCAAUGAGAGUAUGUCUAAAACCAUCAUUCUUAAAUUACUUGGGAUGCGGAUUGGUUUUAACGCUCUUCGCAGUAAAACUCUUAUGCUUUGGAAGACUAAUCAACUGUUCCAAUUAAUGGAUUUGGAAAACAAUUAUUAUGUGGCCAAAUUUCGCUUUAUUGAUGAUUAAUACAAAGGUUUUAACAAGGGGAUCGUGAGUGAUCUUUGGUCAUUAUCUCAUUGUCUAGUCGUAGACACUCAAUUUCAGUACAAUCUAAGAGUAUCCACACGAGGCUAUUCUUUUGACAACUUAGUGGUUAUAAGUUAAAAGAUAUUAUACACGGUAAAAGCUAAUAAUGUAAAUCAAUAAGUAGCUCAAAAGAAAAUUGAGCCGUGUCUUUUGUUUUUCGUUUUGAAACUUUCAGUCUAUUUGUCUUCAACUUGAAGAUGAUAGAGAUAACUAUUUAUUUUUUAGCCAUGUUAAGCAACCUAUGCUUUAUAAUAACAUCUGGGUGUAACGCAAUAUUUUAAAAUUCGAAGUGCCUCUCAAAACAUAAUCUGAAACCUUAUGCCAUCUUUUAAGCUUCUAAAACAAGAAGAUUUAUUUUUGUUACCAUUAUUGACUGGUCUCAAACAUCAACCAGAAAAAGGAAUUGGUCCAAAAUCAUAAUGUGCCGAUUGUUUACAUGUUAGGAACAAGCACACGUGAUGUGACCAGCGCCCGCGGUCUUAACAAGCUGAAACCCCAACCUUUUUUUCUUUUUGUGAAUGUGUAAUAAGAGAAAAAUCUUACCAACUUUGUCUCACACUCUAGAUUAUUUACACCUAUUUUAAUUAAUCAAUCUCAACACGAGUUUUUGUCCAAUAACUUGUGGAACUUAGUAAGAUAAGUAUCGGAUUUAAAUAUUGUGGAGGGAAAAAAUAAUAUUGAGAGAAUAUAAUUUUUUUGAUUUAACUAAAUUUUAAAUUUAAUCAAAAUUUAAUGUAAUUAUCAGAAAAAGACCCCAAAAUUUAUAAUAAACCGAUUAUAAAUCUAUAUAUUAAACAUGAGACCUAUUUGACAUAAAAAAAAAAAAAGAUUUGAUUCCUUUUUAGUUUGCGGAGCUCAAGACCGGAAACCUUGACGGGGAAGCCUCAUGGCAUCUUCUUCCUCUAUAAAAUAAUACCCUUCCAUUCCUCUGAAAAUGAGAGAAUUAAAAAAUGUGUGUUGUAAUAGGGGAAAUUAAUGAAAUGAUAUAAUGGCAAAGGACAUAGGUUGUUAUAAAAAAGCAAAUAGUCCCGAGUUUAAUAUGCGAUUUCAAUAUUCUUAUUACAAAGUAUGGAAGGGAGACUGAAACAUAGGUUAGUGGAACAGUUCAUCUUCUUUUUUAAGAUGAUCUCAAAUUAAUGUAAUAAUUUAGUUUAAAAACUGUGGCCUACAAUCCAAUUAUAUAGUAAUAGUAUGAGACCUUUUUAAAAAAAAGCUUUGUGAGAAAUUUCUACGGAAAAUAAUUGCUGAGAAGGUAUAUUGAAAUUCAAAUUAUUUUAGAUUUGGAUUACUUUAAAUUAUCUAUAUAUUUAUAUUCUUUUAGUUAAAAUAAAAUUUAACUCAAAUUAUCAAUGCAUGUUUUUUCGAGUGGCAAGGAAUUCAAUGUCUUUUUUUGUCAAGAUCUUCUUAUGUUCGAGUCUCAUGAAUGGAAAAAAAUAACAUUAAAAGGGUUACUACUCCUAAUUUUUUUUCAGUUAAAGUCACCCCAUGUCACAACUAUGACGUGACAUUUGGCAAACAAAUUAUAAAAAAUAAAAAUCAAUAAAAGCUCUAAAAAUUAUUAAAUUUUAAUAAAAAUUAUUAAAAAUUAGAAAAAAAUAAAAAUGUAAACAUUUUAUAAAAAUCAUAAAAUAUAAAAUUGUAAAAUUUUAUAAGAAAAUUAUAAAAAAAAACGUAAAAAACUAUAAAAUUCAUAAAACUUAUAAAAAUUAUCGUACCAAAAGGAAUUUUAUAAUUUUUCUAUAACUUUUAUUGAUUUUUAUUUUUUUAUCAUCUUUUACCACACGUCACACUAUGUUGCGAACAUGAUAGCUUUAAUUGAAAAAAUUGGAGGUCAUUAACUUUAAUAAUCAACUGUUAAUGUUAAUGAUUGAAGGGUCUUUUUGAUGCAUUUUAUAAUUUUAUAAUAAUUUUUAUAAAAUUUUAUAUAUUUUUUUUCUAAUUUUUAAUAAAAUUUUAAUAUUUUUAUAUUUUUAUUAAAAUUUAAUAUUUUUAUAACUUUUAUUGAUUUUUUACUUUUUAUAAUUUUUUUUUCCAUAUGUCUCGCUGUGAUUGUGGCACUAGUUGGUUUUAACUGAAAAAAAUUAGGGACAAUUAACUUUAACGGUCAACCAAUUAACGAUCAAAGAGCUUUUUUGAUGCAUUUUGACAGUUCAAAUAUCUAAUAUUCAAUUGAGUGUAAAAAAAGCAAGGCAAUGACUUAAUUGCUUUUUUGAAAAAAAUUGAGGACUUUUUUGAUGCAUUUUAAGAAUUCAAAUUUCCAAUUGAGUGCAAAAAAAAAAAGUUUAAUUCUUUCUUUUUGAAAAUUUUGAGGGAUUUUUAUUCCUUAAGUCAAAUAUAUAUAUAUAUAUAUAUAAGUUUAUGAUAUUGUUUCGUGUAUAUGAUGGAACAUAAAAUUGGAACUUAAAAAUUGUACCAAAAGUAAGACGAAAGGAGUUGAGAAACAUGUAAUUGGAUAAUGUUUGGUGUGGUGGUGGAGUUUGGAACAGGGCACACACGGUUUCGUCUCCCUUUUCGCUGCACAGUUUGUCAAAGGCAGGAUUCCUUGUGUAAUAAGUCGGGGGGAUUCAUUAAUGUUGUAAUCAAGUUUCCAUAAAAAAAUGUUUACUAGAAUAAGGAAAAUUGCAGCAAAAGUGACAAAAUCUUGACAAGUAACAGGCCUACCAAAAGUUUCUUUGACAGAAUAAAUAUGGAAAAAAUCAACCAAGUGAAGAACAUGUGCUACCAACAAAACAUUAAUUAACAAAUUGACCCUUUGAUAGCUGUGUAAUCUUAAUUUCACCGAAAUUAUCACGAGGGACGUUUUCCUACCUCCCACAUUUUUUUAAGGAUAAUUUUUUUUUAAUAUCAAAUUAAUGUUUGAUAAAAAUUUUAAAAGUAAGUGCAUCUACAGUCACUCAAUUUUGGUUCUAAUAAUAAAAUAGUCAUUCAACUUUAAAAAAUAACAAAUCAGUCACUAAUAUUAUUAAAAACUGACAAAUCAAUCACUCACUGACAUUUUCCGUUACAAGUCUAAUGGAACAGUUGACGUGGUCCGUUAACUAGCUGACGUGACCAACUAACUAGCCAUGGUGGAAACCCAGUUUAAGAACCAAACAAAAUAGUAAAAGAAGAAGAUGAAAAACAAACAGAAGAAGAAGAGAAGAAAUGGAGAUGCCGAAGCAAGAGAGAUGCGAAUUUGAAUCAACAAAAUGCCAUUGUCAUUGCUAGCUUUUCCUACUUUAAUAUAGCAUUUGGCAGCAAGAGAGAGGCGAAUUUGUAAGGAAACAGUAAAACUAAAACUUCCCUAUUUGACGCUUCGCUUUCACUUAUCAAAUUUUGCAGCAAUGGCUUUGCUUUCAGAUUCUUCCAAACAAUCCCUUCUCCCAACCUUCCUAUACUCUUCCACCAACUCUUUCUCUUUCGAUCGAUUCCACAAUGCUAAUAACUCUGCCUUCGCUGCUUCGCAUGAAUCUCCCACUGCACCAUCAUCACUAUCGGAGGCUACACGACAACACCCAUCCGGUGUCCACCAAGGCACUAGCCCACCACCGCCAUUUGUUCACCGCCCCUCUGUGAUGGCACUAAUAUAUCUCUAACGGAUCUUAAAUGUGUGUUUUGGCAUUGGGGGUUGCAGUUUUAUGUUUUAUUCAUUUUGUUGAUUCAGAUUCAAGUCAUAAAGAUUGAGAUUUAGAAUUUUUCUCUUCUUCUUCUUCUUUUUCUCCUACUGCCUAGCUAGGGUUCUUAUAUUGGGCCGAUUAAAUGACAGGUAGGAUGCCAACAUGGCCAAUUAAAUGACAGGUCAACUUUCCAUUAUGUCUGACGAAAAAUGAUUACUAGAACUGAUUUGUUAUUUUUUUAAAGUUGAGUGACUGUUUUGUUAUUGAAACCAAAGUUGAGUAACUGUUGAUAUUCUUUAAAUUUUAAUCAUGCUUCAUAUAACUCAUGACUUUUCAAGGAUAAGUUUUAAAAUUACUUAUAAACUUGGUUUUAAUGUACAAAUUAUAAUAUAUUAUUUUAAUUUUGUACAAUUAUAUUAGUUUUCAUAAAUUAAUAACACUACAAUCAAUAUGAUAUUGAUUUACAUUUAUUUACCACAUAAUAAACGAUUAUAUUUAUCUAACAUAAAAAUAUUUAGAUUUAUUUGUUUGUUAAAUAUGUAUAGUUGGGUUAAAAAUAAAAUUUUAUAUGAACAAUUGAAUCAAAAUAAAAUAUUUAUGUAUAUAAAUUUUCCAAAUUAAAGUUUAUGAUGUAUCACAUUAGACAUUAUAUUAAGGUUCUCGUAUAAUUUUAAAAUUUAUAUUGAAGUUUUGAAAUUGUUGCUAGCAAACUAACAAAGUGUUUGGAAGGAGUAACAAGGAAAUGGACACUUAUCUGGCACCAAACUGGAAAUAGUAAACAAAAUCGAACACACAAGAAUUGUUUACGUAGUUCGGUAUCCUUACAUCUACGAAGUCUAAUUUAGUGAGAAAUAUCCACUCACUUCAACAAUUACAACAAGUGAAUCUAACUUAUCACACACCCGUGACAAUUUUCUUUACUUUUGAACCUUGAAUAUCGAUACUCUCACCACUAAGUUCACCCCAGUGAGCCCAGCAAAUAAAAUCACAACACAAACGGUUUUAAUAUUAAAUUGCAAUCUCAGAAAAGUUCCUUACACGAAUAGGUUAAGUGCUAAAAUUUUUUUUGUACAAUCACUUAUACUAGUCUCCAUUAAAUAGAUUAUUUUUUAGACUUACUUACAUAGAAAAUCUAUCACAAUUUCACCUAAACAGUAAUAAGGUAAAUUGUAUAAAAUAUAAUAAUUAUAAGUAAAUAUGAACUCAUAGGAGCUAAUCAAUCAGAGUUUCAAUCCAAUUCAAUAUCCACGAUUCAAGGGAUUGACUUGGAUGAUCUAAUUCAAUACAAUCUCUAAAAUAUGUUUCCUCAUGGGCUAAAUAUAAUCUAUAUACUCAGCAUAAUCCAUCUAUACUGAUUAAUAAAUUGCUAAUACUUCAAAAAUGGAAACUAUCUAGUUACAAGGAAAUCGGCACUCACAAAAGAAAUAAGCUUUAAACUAUGCCGGAUAAAAUUCACCAAAAACAUUCUACAGAAAAUGCUAUAUAUUAAAAAAAUAAAAGGUUAGCCAGCAGCCACCAGGUAGGCUUAAGAAUCCUAUAAUUGCAAUGAUGAAAAAUCCUGAAUAUAGAAAAUAACUACUCCUUUUCCUAGAUUUUGUGUCUGAAAUUUAAUUCAUUCCAUUUGUCUAGAUUUAAUAAGCCCUUCGUGACAGACAGGGACAAAGUAAUUGGAAUUCAUAGUUCUUGAAACCAUGAUUUGCCGACCAAUGAUUCGGUUUCAGUGUUCCUAGUGAAAUAUUAUAAAAAUAAAGAAAAACUUUGUUUGGCUGGCUGUCUUUGUCUGUCAGGAAAUGACCUUAUUUGAAGAGUUCAAGUCUUUGAUACCAUCUAAUGAUUCCCGAUUUGUCUUCCAAACACUUGCUCUUUAGUUUUAAAUAAAAACAUAAUCCCAGAUUGAAUCUGCUGCUAUAUAUGAAGACAGAAUAUUGAAUCCAUAGCAAUUUAAUGAAGUGUCCUUACAAAGUUCUGAACUGCAGUUCGGUCUAGUUUCUAACAGCUACAAUGGCCAACACGCCUUCAAUUACCGAAGACUUCUCCUCAAAACAUUCGCCUAUGAAACACUCUGUAGAAGCGGCCUCUCCUAAACUUCCACCGCCUACAAAACGCCGUACCAUGGAAGAAGCAAAAGUUAAACAUUUACCAGAAUUUUGCGUUAAUAAUGAAAUUCUUCCGUCAACCAUGCAGAAGGUAAAAGUGAAUGUGCUUGCUUCUUGUCUGUCUGUCUGUCACAUAUUUCAUCAUUAUACAUGACAAAAAGAAUAUUGCUCUCUUCUGCUAAAUAAACCGUGUAAACAGGCUGUUGCAGAGCUCCUAGGCACAUACUUUCUUAUCUUUAUAGGUUGUGGGUCAGCUCUUAUAAACGAUUUUGAACCACUAACUAUUGUGGGCAUAGCAAUUGUAUGGGGCAUGGUUCUGAUGGCAGCAAUUUAUGCUGUUGGCCAUAUCUCCGGUGCCCAUUUCAACCCUGCUGUCACUCUUGCCUUGGCUGCUGGUCAGAAAUUUUCAUGGAAACUUGUAAGGAAUGUCUAAUUACAAACAUUUUUACCAUUUUACUGCAACAUAUUCACUUCUCUUUAGUACAAGUUCAUGCACUGAAAUCCGGCUUCCUUAUCGGUCAAGGUACCUAUGUAUAUGGUGUCUCAAUUGCUUGGAUCAACUCUUGCAAGCUUGACCCUCAGGGCCUUGUUUCAUUACCGAGGUAUUGAAGUAACAGUGACCCAAUACAAAGAUUCAACUAGUGAUCUUGAAGCCUUUGCAUGGGAAUUUAUAGCGACUUUCAUAUUGAUGUUCAAUGUUUGUGCAAUCGCCACUGACCACAGAGCGGUAUGUUGAUACCUUGUUUUAUGUUCUUUUCAAUUCCUCAGGAAUAAGCUAUGUUUUAUGUACAAAUGUUAAUUAUAGUUAUUCUGAAUCUUCGAUUGACCAAAGCAGUGCAAAGCUGUCGCUGGAGCUGCAAUAGGUGCUACAGUGCUGUUUAAUGUCAUUGUAGCUGGGUAAGUGAACUUUCCCAGCAACAUUCCAUUCUUUUUUUAUAUUUCAUGAACAAUUCUUUCGAUCAUACCUCAUAUCGUAAAAUUUAUGAUCUCCAUAUAUUUGGCAGGCCGAUUACCGGAGCUUCGAUGAACCCUGCAAGAAGUUUAGGCCCUGCUGUUGUCUCCGGUGUUUAUGAAAACCUUUGGGUCUAUAUUGUAGCUCCAGUUCUUGGAGCAAUGGCCGCAACUUUUGUGUACAGUGUUCUUCGAGCACCUGAACCAGAAAAGCCCGAGAGCAUAAAAAGCAUGCAUAAUGAGCUUUACUCUGAAGUCUGAUCCCAUCCAAAUCUCGUAGUUGGAGAUUUCAUCUAUGUCCAACAGCAGCGUUCAAUAGUUUUCCCUAGGAAGCAUACUCGAUUAGGCUUGUUGAUGGAUGCUUUAGUACAAAUAAGAAUCAAAGAAAUAUAGGAAAUAUCUACCUAUGACGUAGUUUUUUCAUCAAUAAAAAAUAAGCAUUCUACUGUAGUUUUUUUUUUCUUUUCAUAACUAUAGAUACGAUGUGGUAAAGCUGGAAAAACAAACAGAGAGCACCAAAAAUAUGAAUUACAAUACAAUCAUUUCUUACAAUCAGUUAAAAGUAACAUAAACAUGGUUUUAUUUGAGGACUACACAAUUCUAAAUUCUACCCAUGACUCUCUU